AUAUGUAUUACCAUUUUUACAUGUAUUCAUAGCCUCAUUUCGAUUUCACCUACUCUUUCAAAAGCUUUACGAUGAACAUUGCCUCACCUAAAGCACAUGUCGAGUCAUCACAAGGCCUCCUCAUCCAUUUAACGGAACCUAACACAGAAGUUAACAAAUUCAAAGAGUGGAAACGUGAUACGGAAAACGCACUUAGGAUGUUCAGCGAUGGUGAAACACAAGUUUGGUAUCGUAUCGAAGAAGCAACAUCAGGUACUUUAUCAAUAGUUUGAUGGAAUUUAUACACUCUGCUAUUCUAUUAGAUGGGUCCAAGUACACACAAAAGCUCAAAGUUUUUAUGGAGAUCGAAGACAACACUUCUUAUGAAAGAGCCCCGAAAGAAAAAAACGGCGAAUGCGUGGAGAAGAAAGUAAAGACCCUAAUAUGCAGUCACAAAUUUCACCAUCAAUGUAUAACAACAUGUCUAAUUUGUAGAACUCAAUCAUUUUAACCUUGGAUACUUUAUGUUAUUCAAUAAAGCAUCAUGUUUUCAUA
Molecule: RNA transcript, 534 nt
Organism: Arabidopsis thaliana (thale cress)
Lineage: Eukaryota; Viridiplantae; Streptophyta; Magnoliopsida; Brassicales; Brassicaceae
Exons: 2
Source: RefSeq